Molecule: long non-coding RNA, 423 nt
Organism: Betta splendens (Siamese fighting fish)
Lineage: Eukaryota; Metazoa; Chordata; Actinopteri; Anabantiformes; Osphronemidae
Exons: 3
Source: RefSeq, a predicted model, not a curated record
CAGGCAGCCCAUCGCAGUAAUGGCCAGCGGGACACAAAUGAAGGACUGGGUCUCCUGCAAGCAAACACAGUGAAAAACAACGAUUUUUCGGGGAAAAAGGGCAGGGCAGACAAGCAUCGGGACCGGAAGCUCCGAGCCGGCUCUGCACGGUGCCAGGGGGGCAGGGGAACAGCAGUCCCAGGACCAGCCCUGGAGGGCAGUAGAACCCAGCAGGACACAGGGCGGGCUGCACGGUGCCCUCAACUGGGUCACAAACGGAAGAGAGAAAUACAACGACCAGCGAAAUAGUAGCCAGCCGUGCAGGUGGAGCAGUUGUCUUGAUGGGCGUUGCCGGUGUCGGGGCCAUACGUUCCUGCAGGACAUGGCACAGGGACGGGCGUUCCACCGGGGCAGAAGGAGCCAGCCGGGCACAGGGCCCGAUCC